GCGAGUCAUUGUAGCAAUACAAGGCAGACGGCUCAGUAACGCGUAGUCAAUCUACCCUAUGGACGGGAAUAACCUCGGGAAACUGAGAAUAAUGCCCGACAGAACAUUAUACCUGGAACGGUUUAUGUUUCAAAUGAUUUAUCGCCGUAGGAUGGGACUGCGGCCUAUCAGUUUGUUGGUGAGGUAAUGGCCCACCAAGACUAUUACAGGUACGGGCUCUGAGAGGAGUAGCCCGGAGAUGGGUACUGAGACACGGACCCAGGCCCUAUGGGGCGCAGCAGGCGAGAAAACUUUGCAAUGUGCGAAGGCACGACAAGGUUAAUCCGAGUGGUUUCUGCUAAAGAAACCUUUUGCUAGUCCUAGAAACACUAGUGAAUAAGGGGUGGGCAAGUUCUGGUGUCAGCCGCCGCGGUAAAACCAGCACCUCAAGUGGUCAGGAUGAUUAUUGGGCCUAAAGCAUCCGUAGCUCGUUUUGUAAGUUUUCGGUUAAAUCCAUACGCUUAACGUAUGGGCUGCCGGGAAUACUGCAUAACUAGGAAGUGGGAGAGGUAGACGGUACUCGGUAGGAAGGGGUAAAAUCCUUUGAUCUAUUGAUGACCACCUGUGGCGAAGGCGGUCUACCAGAACACGUUCGACGGUGAGGGAUGAAAGCUGGGGGAGCAAACCGGAUUAGAUACCCGGGUAGUCCCAGCUGUAAACUAUGCAAACUCAGUGAUGCAUUGGCUUGUGGCCAAUGCAGUGCUGCAGGGAAGCCGUUAAGUUUGCCGCCCUGGGAAGUACGUACGCAAGUAUGAAACUUAAAGGAAUUGGCGGGGGAGCACCACAAGGGGUGAAGCCUGCGGU
This 843-nucleotide ribosomal RNA is filed under the name uncultured archaeon. Its description in RNAcentral is "bacterial SSU rRNA". It matches the Rfam family "Archaeal small subunit ribosomal RNA", at positions 53 to 901 of the family's 1478-position model. The record is from RNAcentral.